UACGUAGGGGUCUAGCGUUGUCCGGAAUCAUUGGGCGUAAAGAGCUCGUAGGCGGUUCGGCAAGUCGGAUGUGAAAUCUCCACGCUCAACGUGGAGGGGCCAUUCGAAACUGCCGUGACUCGAGUCCGGUAGGGGAGUGCGGAAUUCCCGGUGUAGCGGUGAAAUGCGCAGAUAUCGGGAGGAACACCAGUGGCGAAGGCGGCACUCUGGGCCGGAACUGAC
Molecule: ribosomal RNA, 222 nt
Filed under: uncultured prokaryote
Description: partial 16S ribosomal RNA
Rfam family: Bacterial small subunit ribosomal RNA
Source: RNAcentral